GAGGGCACCCUUCUGGCCACUCUGCAGGGGGCCUGGGAGAGGCCUUGGGGCCCAGAACUCAGCUUCUCUUCUCAGAGCCGCGAGCCGAGCCCGAGCCCAUUGGGACCUCUGGGUCCAGGCUUCACUAGGCCCAGGGCCCGGUGAAGGCGGCCACUGGCCCUCCCUCCCCUCUGCGGAGCACACCUGAUGCAGGAGAGACCACCAUUUUGGCUUCAUUCACUUGAAGCUGCCUGGUGGGCUGUAGCAUCUCCCAGACCAGCAAGAGAUUGUCCCCAAAUGCCCUGAUGACAUCCAGAAGGUGGCCCAUUUCCCAGUAGGACACAGGCUUGCUCUUUGGGGCUUCCAGGCUCCCCUGGAACCCCUCUGGGGAGGUAAAGGCAGUGCCCAGUGUCUCUCCAGGGAACAAAGGAGUCUGGGAACCCCAGAUUAGCCCUCUCUACUCCUCUGACUUCAACGUCCUGUAGCGGCUCUGUCCCCCACCCUGGCCUCUGAGGUCCUGGCUCCUCCCUCCAGUGAGCCCCCCUAUAAUGGGUUGAAUUCCCCCCCCCCCAACUCUGUUGAAGUCCUAUUGCUCAGUAUUCAGAAUGUGACCUUAUUUGGAGAUACAGUCUCUACAGAGGGAAUCAAGUUCGGGUGAGGUCAUUAGGGUGGGUUUGGGGUCUUUCUACAUAGGGGGAUUUGGGACAUGGACACACCCAGAGGAAUAGCCAUGUCAGGAGUUAGAGGCAGAUAUUGGAACAUGUGGGGAAUGUCUGGGAUCAGCAGAAGCUAGAAGAGGCAGCAAAGACCAACCCCCCCCGCCCCCGCCACCAGUGUAUGGUGCUUUGCCAGGGAGCCCCAGAAAGCAAAUGUGCCUCAUCCCUAACCUCACACCCUGUACUCUGCCGAAGCUCAGUCAAGGGCAUCCCUCUGCCUUCUUUCUCACACACCCCCCUCCCCAGGGCAGCUGGCAUCCCAGGGCAGCUAGCGAUCCCCCUCCUCCCUCCCUCUCCUCCCAGAAUGGGACAAAGGGGAACGGGGCUGCUGAGUGAGGCCGGAGAAGCCAGAGCCCUGCUGGCUGUCCGGACCAUCAUCCCCGUUCCCCAGCGAGCCCACGCUCUACCCCCCACCACUGCAUCCCACCUUCUCCUCCCUCUCAAACCUGCCUCGUCCUCCCCUCCUAUCCCUGCUGCCACAGCUGCCCACCUGCGUUGUCCUCACCUGAGUCUCUGUCUCCUCGGCAUCCCACCUCUCACCUCCCCAGGGCCUCCUCUCUCUGGCUCCAUUAAGGGAAGCACACCUGCCGCUGUCUCUCCUGUUUUCCCUCCACCCCUCCCCUCUGGCCACCACCCCAAACCUUGUUCCCUUUACAGCAAAACCCUUGGACAGAGGAGCUUCCUAGCCUCUGCCUCUCCCACUGCACACCCGCUGGGUGCCCCCUCCCCUGCUCCCCCAGGCUCAGCUCUGCUGCUCCUCCCACUUGCAUGACUCAUGCCCCGCACCCCCCUCCUGCAUGACCCCGCACUCCUGCUCUGCUCACACUCACUCCAGGGAACCAGGCUGGGUCCCAGGCAGCCGCUGCCACCCCAGGACGUCUCAACUGCCCCUGGCUCUCCACUCCGUGUCCAGAAGCAUCUGGAAUUCAGGACAUCCAGAACUGGCUCCCAUGGCCUCCCCCAGACACUGGCUCCUCUGUUCCAUCACUGAUGCCUCUGCCUUUCCACAGCCACAUCCAGUCCAUUGGCAACUACUGUGCUCGACCUUCACCACAGUCCCCAAGGCUAGCAGCUUCCUGCCUUCCCCUGCCAGCCGCCUUUCUGGAGCUUUGCCUCCCCUCUCCUGCCCUCCCCUCCCUCCUCUCUAGCUGCACUGUUCUCACUACUACCCCAGGGCCUUUGCACCAGCCUGGCUUGCUCUUUGUUUCCUUUAAGGCUGCCUUCUGGGGGAGGCUUUCCUGCCCCCAAACCCACCAGCUGUCUGUGGGCACCCUCAGCCCCUGCAGCAGGCCUUAUUUUGCACAUAGCACAGUCUAAGACUCGGAUCGUGAGUCUACAUCUGCUUUAAUCCAAGUUCUGAGAAAGGGUGCACACAGUAAGCGCUCGGUGAGCAUUUAAAGAACAAAACAUGCAACCUUCCUGGGAGCUCCAGCCUUGCUCUGGGCCUUUCACUAUUCACUGGCACUCCCUGCACCAACCUUCCCAGGGAGGGACAUGGUGGCCCAUUCAUGAUGGGAUGGCAAGGCGUCUGCCCAGGCCCCUGGGCUGCUAAGGAUGGAGUCAGGGCUUAGAGGCAGGGAGUCAAGGCUCACUGUCUGGUGGGGAGCCCCUGCCAUGCCCACCGUGGUGGCAGAGGCAGUGCCCUCUCCUGCCUGGAUCCCCGGGGCACAGGCUGCUCAGGAGAACCCACUAGGAGUUCUUUUAAAGUGGCCUGUAACCACCCGCCUACUAUCGUGGGCAGAGUUCCAGAUCUGGGGAGGUUACAGAGGAGGAGAUGGGGCCAGGCCCGCCCUCAUGCCCUGGCUGGAGAGACAAGUAAUUUAAUAUUGUGCCACAGGAUGUGGGGCGUGGGCCACCUGCAGGAGGGCUGACCACGCAGGAUCUGGAUGGUGGGGAAGAGGUUCUAGGGUCUGCAGGUGUCGCGGAGGAGGCUGGCCGGAGCCGAGGCCUGUGAACAGGAAGGACAGAACCCAGCGGGUGCAGUGGAUCAAUAGGGCAAUGGCCCCCAGGGCGUGGGAGGGACAGGGCCAGGCCAGCCCAGAGCAAGGCAGGGCCACAAGAAUGACUGCGACAGUGGGGGUGGCUCCCUGUGGCCCCUCCCCAGGGCUGGCCCUGCACCAGAGCACAAAAAGUGCUGAUGGAUGGACCAAGAGGCACAGUCCCCAGGCUCUACAGCUUGCUCAGCUCCAACGUGGUGAGUGGCCUGGGCAGCCCUGGGCCCCCACCCCCGGCCCCUGCCGUGGCACACAGGGAAAGUGAGGGGGACAGUUCCUGCAUGCCGGUGGCCAGGCCAGGCCCCCUGCGGGCAGGGACUCACCGGCAGGAUGGAGAACCGCAUGAAGAGGCAGAACCUCUGUCCGUUGGAAACUCAAUAGAGAAUCCGUCCAGAAAGAAGCAGGAAGAACUUUCAGGAAACCAGAAGUCACAAACUCACAAACCCCUUCCUACUCUGGAGAACUCCGUGGCUGUCACCCGGCCACCUUCCCCUGCCUGGAUGGCACUUUUAAGGUGCCUGGCUGUUUGGUGUCUGCUGGGGGCCACCACACCGACAUCGGCUUCCCUUCCACACGCUGGACACCCUGGCACCUGGCUGGGCGAGAUUCUAGGGGACCUGGUGCCUCCCGCCCCAAGGCCCCUGGGCCCCUGCUCCAUUCCAGGGAUGGCUGGCUCUUGCACACAUCUCGAGUGAACUGAAGAAGAAUGAGUGAUAGCCCCAGCAUCCACUCUGCCCCUGGCCCCCACGGGAGUCACGGCCCUGAAAACCCUCCCCAGAGCCUGUUCCAUCAGGCAGCUGGCCCCUCUGUACCCAGCAGCCCCAAACCUGCCCUGGCUUAUUCACCUGUUUCUGACUCCACCCACCAGCCUGGAAGCCCCUGGAGGGGAGGCCCCCCCUGAGGUCCCAGGGCUCAGGACUGGGGAAACACUCCUAGCCUAGAACCUGAUUGGACAUUCGAGGAGGAGGGCCUGCUCAAGGUCACACUGCCAACAGGGGCCUGCCAGGCUACCAUAGCUAAUGUCCAACCCAAAGGCAGUCACUUGCUUCACUAUUUUCCAUAAAUCAGAAUUCAGAGCAUCCGGGGCAGGAGGCUCCUCAGGGAGGCUCCAACCGUAAAACCCCAGCAGCCCGUGUGCAUUCCAGGUCUUGACAAGGGGCUUGUGCUCUCAAGAUUGUAUCUCCGUCUGUGAACUGGACAGGACCAAUCUCUGCCAUCUGGGAGGAUUAAUGAGAUAACUGGCAUAUAAGGUGCAUGCACGGGGCUGCCCAGCACAGAGAGGGUGCCACCAGCAGCAGCUGGGUGCCGACCAGCAUCCAGCCGGGGCUGGCUCAGGACCCUGUUGAGCACUGGGCAUGCACACAGCUGGGGGGGAUGGGUCUGAGUGCUCAGUGGAGCCAGGCCACCAGAGUCAUGAUGAAUGACCUGCAUCCCAUGGGCCUCUGGGCUCUGGAGGGGAUGGUGGCACUGUCCAGCUGCCUAGUGUGUAAAGACCAUUCUGCUCUGCCUGACAAGUUAUUAGGGAACUGCCUGUGACUGGGUGGGGGGCAUGCAUGCCUGUGUUGGGGUCUGCAUCUCCCCACCAGCCCAUGUCCCUGCGCUCAGAGCAAAAGUCCAGUUUAAAUUACAGCGGCAGCUGGAGGUGCCACUGGUGUUGGGGCUGUGAUUGCUGCCGCUCUAGGACAAGGAGGGUGCCGACCACUGUGCCAGGCUCAUGUGGACAUGGCCCCCGAGCCCCAUCAGGAGCCUUACAGGUGAGAAAACAGAGGUAUAGAGAGGUUAAGUGACUUGUCCAGGGUCACACAGCCAGUAAGAGGCGGUUGCUCUGACUCUAAAGCCCAAAGGCUUGUGCUUGGCCAGGCAGUGCCCCCUCCCUUGUUCCCUGCCCCAGCCCCCUCACCACGAGAAUGCUGCGGGCAUGGAGUGGCCAGAGGUGGAAAAGCCACGUGGCCGCCAGCAGGAAUCCAGGCCCACCCACACUCUGGGGGUGGCUGUGGGCUAGGGCCAUCCCCUCUGUCCCCCCAGCAAAGGGGCACCCAGCAUCAUGGAGGUACCUCUUGCAACCAUCCUUCCCAACCCCUCCUGGCCUCUCCUUAGUCACGCCCCAUACCCCAGGGUCCCAGCGCCCUCUGACUUUGUCUUUCCAGGACCCACCUAUGCUCUGGCCCGGGGCCACCAAGAUUUCCUGCCUGCCUGACUUCCCCGAUUCCUCUCCCCCCCUUCCAACCUCUGCUCACGGCACCUGAUGCCACCAUUAAAUCUCAGGACCCUGGACCCCAA
Molecule: RNA transcript, 4969 nt
Organism: Nyctereutes procyonoides (raccoon dog)
Lineage: Eukaryota; Metazoa; Chordata; Mammalia; Carnivora; Canidae
Exons: 2
Source: RefSeq, a predicted model, not a curated record